GCAGUGGGAGCACGCUUCGGCGUGUGACUGCGUACCUUUUGUAUAAUGGGUCAGCGACUUAUAUUCUGUAGCAAGGUUAACCGAAUAGGGGAGCCGAAGGGAAACCGAGUCUUAACUGGGCGUUAAGUUGCAGGGUAUAGACCCGAAACCCGGUGAUCUAGCCAUGGGCAGGUUGAAGGUUGGGUAACACUAACUGGAGGACCGAACCGACUAAUGUUGAAAAAUUAGCGGAUGACUUGUGGCUGGGGGUGAAAGGCCAAUCAAACCGGGAGAUAGCUGGUUCUCCCCGAAAGCUAUUUAGGUAGCGCCUCGUGAAUUCAUCUCCGGGGGUAGAGCACUGUUUCGGCAAGGGGGUCAUCCCGACUUACCAACCCGAUGCAAACUGCGAAUACCGGAGAAUGUUAUCACGGGAGACACACGGCGGGUGCUAACGUCCGUCGUGAAGAGGGAAACAACCCAGACCGCCAGCUAAGGUCCCAAAGUCAUGGUUAAGUGGGAAACGAUGUGGGAAGGCCCAGACAGCCAGGAUGUUGGCUUAGAAGCAGCCAUCAUUUAAAGAAAGCGUAAUAGCUCACUGGUCGAGUCGGCCUGCGCGGAAGAUGUAACGGGGCUAAACCAUGCACCGAAGCUGCGGCAGCGACACUAUGUGUUGUUGGGUAGGGGAGCG
RNAcentral lists this ribosomal RNA (667 nucleotides) under Escherichia coli. RNAcentral's name for it is "partial 23S ribosomal RNA". It matches the Rfam family "Bacterial large subunit ribosomal RNA", at positions 570 to 1238 of the family's 2925-position model. Lineage: Bacteria; Pseudomonadati; Pseudomonadota; Gammaproteobacteria; Enterobacterales; Enterobacteriaceae. The record is from RNAcentral.